CAAUAGCGUAUAUUUAAGUUGUUGCAGUUAAAAAGCUCGUAGUUGGAUUUCGGGUGGGACGCAGCGGUCUCGCAUUGCGUUUGUACUGCUGCAGCCCUCCUUCUUGCCGGGGGCGGCCUCUCGGACUUCACUGUCUGGGGGUCAGAAUCAGCGAUGUUACUUUGAGUAAAUUAGAGUGUUCAAAGCAAGCUUACGCUCUGAAUAUAAUAGCAUGGGAUAACACGACAGGACUCUGGCCUAUCGUGUUGGUCUAUAGGACCAGAGUAAUGAUUAAGAGGGACAGUCGGGGGCAUUCGUAUUCCGUUGUCAGAGGUGAAAUUCUUGGAUUUACGGAAGACGAACAUCUGCGAAAGCAUUUGCCAAGGAUGUUUNCAUUGA
RNAcentral lists this ribosomal RNA (378 nucleotides) under uncultured eukaryote. Its description in RNAcentral is "partial 18S ribosomal RNA". It matches the Rfam family "Eukaryotic small subunit ribosomal RNA", at positions 592 to 976 of the family's 1831-position model. The record is from RNAcentral.